UACGUAGGGAGCAAGCGUUGUCCGGAAUCAUUGGGCGUAAAGCGCGCGUAGGCGGCCCCGUAAGUCCGCUGUGAAAGUCAAAGGCUCAACCUUUGAAAGCCGGUGGAUACUGUGGGGCUAGAGUCCGGAAGAGGCGAGUGGAAUCCUGGUGUAGCGGUGGAAUGCGCAGAUAUCAGGAGGAACACCGGUGGCGAAGGCGGGUCUCUGGGCAAGCAACUGACGCUGAGGAGCGAAAGCGUGGG
RNAcentral lists this ribosomal RNA (242 nucleotides) under uncultured bacterium. RNAcentral's name for it is "partial 16S ribosomal RNA". It matches the Rfam family "Bacterial small subunit ribosomal RNA", at positions 524 to 765 of the family's 1533-position model. The record is from RNAcentral.